CGUAAACAAAAUGUCUAUACAGAUACCUAUGUAUACAUGAAAAGAUUCUACUAGUGUUUUCGAGGAAGCUCUAUGAUUUUCUAAAAAUUUAAUCGUGACUUCGAAUAAACAUUUUACUAUUGACAUUAACAAUCUAAAUUAUUAACUAAAAAGACCGUCGGCUUAUUUCUGUGUGCGAUCCGCACCACUUGUCAAAGGCCUGAAAGCGGACGAACGGGUCUGCGAGGUACACCUCGAUGACAGAUUU
Cinara cedri is the source of this 247-nucleotide non-coding RNA. NCBI's taxonomy places the organism in Eukaryota, Metazoa, Arthropoda, Insecta, Hemiptera, Aphididae. The record is from the annotation of a GenBank genome assembly.